ACAACGCUGGCGGCGUGCCUAACACAUGCAAGUCGAACGAGAAAGUGGAGCAAUCCAUGAGUAAAGUGGCGACCGGGUGAGUAACACGUGACUAACCUGCCUUCGAGUGGGGGAUAACCUCGGGAAACCGGGGCUAAUACCGCAUAAUGCCUUCGGGUUAAAGGAGCAAUUCGCUUGAAGAGGGGGUCGCGGCUGAUUAGCUAGUUGGCGGGGUAACGGCCCACCAAGGCGAUGAUCGGUAGCCGGCCUGAGAGGGCGCACGGCCACACUGGAACUGAAACACGGUCCAGACUCCUACGGGAGGCAGCAGUGGGGAAUUUUGCGCAAUGGGGGAAACCCUGACGCAGCAACGCCGCGUGGAGGAUGAAGUCCUUUGGGACGUAAACUCCUUUCGACCGGGACGAUUAUGACGGUACCGGUGGAAGAAGCCCCGGCUAACUUCGUGCCAGCAGCCGCGGUAAUACGAGGGGGGCGAGCGUUGUUCGGAAUUAUUGGGCGUAAAGGGCGCGUAAGCGGUGCGGUAAGUCACCUGUGAAACCUCUGGGCUUAACUCA
Molecule: ribosomal RNA, 554 nt
Filed under: uncultured bacterium
Lineage: Bacteria
Description: bacterial SSU rRNA
Rfam family: Bacterial small subunit ribosomal RNA
Source: RNAcentral